This is a non-coding RNA of Macaca mulatta (Rhesus monkey), 1004 nucleotides long. NCBI's taxonomy places the organism in Eukaryota, Metazoa, Chordata, Mammalia, Primates, Cercopithecidae. The record is from RefSeq and is a predicted model, not a curated record.
AUUUUCAAAGUCAAUGGUGAGUAAAUGAACAAUGGUUGCCAGGCAACCUGUGAGCAGGGAUUGAGUAGAGACUAAAGCAAACAGCAGCCUCCACCCCCCAUCCCAGGAACCCAGAGCCUCUCAGGCCUUGUGCUUCCAGGUAAUGACCCUCCCACCACAGCUCCACUGGACAGAACCGCCCCAGCUUCCUCCACCCAAACUCCUGCACCCACCACCCAGAGAAAUGGAAGUCAAGGACUCAGCAGUCCAAGGCAGCCCUUCUGAAGCAACUUCAGUGGCUCAGCAAAUGUUUGUUGAGAACCUCCUAUGUGCCUGGCUGGAGCAGGGUGUGGCUGUAGAGCUGCACAUCACAGUCCGUAUCCAGGUCAGCCCUGAAUCUCAGGCACUGGAAGCUCAGGGUUAGGAAUCUGGGGAUGAUAUCCUGUAGCAUCUAUAGUGUAAAUCAGCAGUUUUCAAUGUAUUCACUGUUUCUCUUUCUGCCUCAGGUUACCCUGAUGGGCAGGACACACUCCCAUCAGUAAGAGGACAUCAAAAGGGCAGGUGUGGGGGUGGACAGGAAGAUCAGAAUCUCUGAAAGGGCAGGUGUUUGAUAAAAGUCCCUUCCCUGUCCCCACAGCCUGGGACUCCUGGCACCCUGGGGGAGGGCUGUGCCUUCAGGACUCGCCUUAGACCGGGAGGAGCCAUGGAAGGAUUUUUCUGGAGAGGAGGAGUGGAGAUUGGUCUUUUGAGAUGUUUUUCAGACUUUUGCAUUGUGGCAACCUACAGACUCCACCUGGACCCACGAUUCAUGACUCAACUGGUACACCCAGAAGCUGACUCAGAGCAAAAGGACCAUUUUCCACACCCCUAGGAUUUCAUGUCCAACCAAUCAGUAUUCCCCAUUCUCUAGGUUUUUAUUCUUAAAAACCUUAGCCUCUGAGCUUUUAGGGAGAUUUAUUUAAGUAAUACACUCCUGUCUUCCACUUAGCUGGUUCUGUAUGUAUUAAACUCUUUCUCUACUGCCA